This is a long non-coding RNA of Micropterus salmoides (largemouth bass), 654 nucleotides long. RefSeq lists it as uncharacterized. The record is from RefSeq and is a predicted model, not a curated record. The transcript has 3 exons. Lineage: Eukaryota; Metazoa; Chordata; Actinopteri; Centrarchiformes; Centrarchidae.
GCUCAAGGCCAGAUUGGUGCCCUUACUUCAUGUGAUAUAUUGUAUGGAUGCAUGUGUAUAACAGCAAUAUAAAUAUUAUAGUAACAUGACAUUAUUUACCGCUUCAUAGACCCAGACAAAGGCAAAUACAAGGCCCUUGGAAUUCAUCACAGUUUGGACAUGUGGCAUGGUGCGAAGAACCUUGCCAAAAAAAUAGCAGCAGCCGCAAAGAUGAAAGGAUAGUCCAUCCUCUUCAACAGGCUGAAGGACAUAGUCAACCAUUUUCGGUGGUGUUGCAAGACUGCCGACACACGUGGGCAGUUUCUUGCAUUAUGGGUUGGCAUCCUUCACCAUGUCUGCAACAUUCACACCUGGACUAUGGGAAGCUGCAAACACGGGCACCUUGAAUCGGAGCAAAUGUGAGUAAAGAUGUGGAUCCAGAGAGACUCCCAGUGCCACAAAGCGUUAGUGCAUAUAGUUCUCAAUAAAAGGUGGCAGAAAGAUGUUCACAAAUAUCUGCGAUUGAGGUAGUGUGGCUAUACUUUUUCACACUACAGACCUAGAGUCAGUCCAGAAUCAUAUCCUCAUGUUUGCCAGCAAGCGCUAUGCUUUCAGCCCCCCAGUUUAUGAGGCAAGACUUCUGCUUGCUGCUUUGGACUACAAUUUCCAUCGGAA